AAUCCAAGUGUUCAAACGAUUAAGAACUGGGUUAUUAAGUUCGAAGAGAGAGGUUCGACGUUGGAUAAACAACGGUCAGGUCAUCACAGACGGAAGAAAACAUCGAUAAAGUGAAACACUCAAUUCGUGAAAAUCCCACCCAGUCUACUCGUAAGCGUUCCAGUGCAUUGACCGAGAACUUUUUUGCACCAGAAUUGCAGAAUUUUCCAGGCUUCAAUACGCAGACCUGAUUUCAACAAGAUGGAGCAACCGCACAUGCCUCUUACGUCGCUAUGCCGGUCGUCCGUCAACUUUUCCCUAGUAAAGUGAUCUCUCGAAGACGAGAUAUUCCUUGGCCACCACGUAGUCCAGAUCUGACCCCAAUGGACUUUUUCUUAUGGGGUUAUCUUAAGAAUAAAGUGUACGAAACCAACCCGCGGUCAGUUGACACCCUGAAGGAAAAAAAUCCAAAGAGAAAUGGCAAACAUUACAGAGCUUACUUGCCGCGCAAAGGUGGAUAAUUUUAAACGUCGCUUACAGGAGUACUGCGAUCGUAACGGAUUACAUUUAGAUGAUGUAAUUUUCAAAAAAUAAUUCCCAUUUUAUAAGGAUUAUGAAAAAAUAAAAAACUUUUUCAUAAUGUCAUUAGUUUUUUUUUAUUUAUUUUUUUACAUUUCAAGGGAUUAUUAUUUUCAUUGUUAUACAGGGUGGUCCAUAACACCCUGUAUAACAAAAAUCACACCUAUACGGUCUAUAUUACAUAAUGUUAUUAGUUUACUUUGUUGUUUAUUGUUUCCUCUUCUUAUGUUACCAUCUGCCUUCUGGGUUCUGGCAGAAUCAACAGCGUUAUGAGUCCACUGACUCAUGACAUAUGCUGAGCCAGAACCUUUUACAGUCAAGUAUAUUUCUAGGGCAGGCGGAAAUUCAUACAAUGACACGAAGUAUUAUUUUAUCAUCAAAAUAAAACGAUACCUAUCGCUUUUCAUACACUACUUUAUCGUUUACGCAGCGUACCGCUUUUCAUGGUACAAGGUGAGGUCAGAGGUGAGCGACGCGGUCGUUCAGAGAUAACAAACUUGUUUUGACAUGUCUGGAUGAGGUGCAGAUUAAGAAGCACAGCGACACGCAUUCACGCAUCUCGCUUUGAAAUGCGCUUGCGUGUGGACAGUUUGAGUUUGGAUAUUUUCGAUAAUUUAAAUUAUUGUUUUUUUGUUAUUGUUUUCUGUUAAGUUUUAUUUUGUUGUUAAGUUUUGUGUGAGAAUUGGUUUUUCGCUGGACUUGUUCAAAUAAGUGUUAUAUUUUUUAAACGAUAUGGAGUCGGGUCCUUCAACAUCAAAAACAUUUAAAGACUUUAGGUCACCAAGAAAGAAGCGCAAGAUAACGCAUAUUUUCGAAAAUGAAAAAACAAUGAUUGUAAAUGGUUUUAAGUAUGUACAAGAAACGUGGCCCACUGACAAAUAUGCGUCAAAAACGGAUAUGAAAAAGAAGACGGCUGAUAUUUUGGGCAUUGAAAAAACCUCUCUCUACCGUGUUCUAAAAUCUAAAGGAAUAUAAAGAAACGAACACCGUGACGCCUCCUGCUCUGCCAAAAAAAAAAAUCUGAUUUGAUUGCGAGUGUGUAUGAGUUUGAUAAGUCGUGCAUCAGAAAAAAAAGUGCAUGAGUUUUAUUUAAGGGGCGAGAUACCCAAUUUAAAUAAAAUACUGGAAGCGGUCAAUUCGGACGAAAUGCUACCCAAUUUCAGCCGUACAUCACUUUGGUGCCUGUUAAGACAUUUAAAAUUUAAAUACGUGAAAAAGAAAGGAAACAGCGCUUUAAUUUAAAGGCAUGAUAUUGUUUUAUGGCGCAUCAAGUACCUUAAACAAAUAAAGAAGUUUCGAGAUGGAGGACGACCAAUAUAAUAUUUGGACGAGACUUGGGUUAAAGCAGGUCAUACAGUUAGUAAAGCGUGGGAGGAUACGACAGUGAAAUCUGCAAAACAAGCCUUUUUAGAAGGCUUGCCAACGGGAGCCAAGAAUCCAACAGGCAAAGGAAAUCGUUUAACUGUCGUACACAUAGGAAGCGAGAAGGGUUUUCUGCCAGGAUUUCUGUGGAUUUUUGAAAAUAAAGCGACAGGGGAUUACCACGAGACCAUGAACGCCGAAGGUUUUGAAAAAUGGUUCGAAGAUAUUUUAAAAAAAGUCGAACCAAAUGCUGUCAUCGUGAUGGACAAUGCAAGCUAUCAUUCGAGACGUCAAGAACGAUUGCCGGUCACAAGCUGGAGAAAACUUAAUAUUCAAGAAUGGCUUUCCUCAAAAACGUCGCAUAUGAAGAAAAAGAAACUAAAACGGAAUUACUUGCAAAAGUAAAAGAUGUAAAAGAUAGGUAUCUAUGUCACAGACGAAAUGGCAAAACAGGUUGGUAUUGAAGUGCUACGCUUGCCGCCGUACCACUGCGAGCUUAAUCCUAUUGAGCUGGUGUGGGCGGAUGUAAAAAACUACGUAGCCCAAAAUAACACAACUUUUAAAAUGGUAGAUGUCAAAAGGUUAUUUGAGGAAGGCCUGAAUAACAUUGAUCAGGCAAAAUGGAAAAACUGUGUCGACCACGUGAUAAAGGAGGAAACGAUAUGGACUAUAUGGACUUGACCAUGCAGCGGAUAAAACUGUCAUUAUUAAUGUGACUGAUUCUUCCACGUCUUCGUCAUCAGAAAACGAUAGUGAAACCAGUGACGAUGAAGGAAAUUCACCACUACAUUAAUUUCAAAUUAUAUAAAUAUACAAGUAUUAUUAA
Molecule: long non-coding RNA, 2746 nt
Organism: Colias croceus (clouded yellow)
Lineage: Eukaryota; Metazoa; Arthropoda; Insecta; Lepidoptera; Pieridae
Exons: 2
Source: RefSeq, a predicted model, not a curated record